GAGUCCCUGCGGUGUUCGAACACACGUGCUCUUUUCCUAUGUAAACCGAAUAGGGGGUUGCCCUUUGCGGGAUGAUGUCAAGCCGUGAACCGGAAGGCAGAAGCCUGUGAAGAUACCCCCACCUUGUGAGGACCGGGUUAAGAGCCCACCUUAUCGGCACAUGUGGGGACUCU
This 173-nucleotide non-coding RNA is filed under the name Opitutales bacterium. RNAcentral describes it as "6S RNA". It matches the Rfam family "6S / SsrS RNA". From Rfam's summary of the family: E. coli 6S RNA was the first non coding RNA to be sequenced, but its function was unknown until recently. It consists of 184 nucleotides that fold into an extended hairpin structure with a large single-stranded internal bulge. The record is from RNAcentral. Lineage: Bacteria; Pseudomonadati; Verrucomicrobiota; Opitutia; Opitutales.